CAGCCCAUUCCCAGCGGCAGGGGCUCCAGUUCUGCAGUGGCACUCAACUGCUCUCAAUCCUCCUUGGCCUUUCAAAGGGGAAGCUGCUUGCUGGAGGGAGCAGGGUAAGUGCAAGAGGAAAAACCAAAUGAUUUUCUCCCUGCUCGUGCCGGCGGGGGGGCGGUUACUGUGUGAGCAAGGCUCGCAGCGCCGGCUCAUUCAGCACGGCGGUGUCUGUGUGCCCAGGCCCCGGGCACAGCGGGCUCUGUGCUCCUGAGGUCAGCUUGAAAAGCUGCUCAAAGCCCAUGGAUGGUCCCUGAGCUUUGCAUCCGGCCUCAGAUACUCUGCUAAAUACUUGCAAAAUGGCUCGUGGGGCCACACUGGGCAGCGUGGCAGCUGAGAGCUGCUGGGGGAGCAGCUGGGUGAUGUCGGGGGAGGAUGACACCCCAAUUCCAUAGAGUAGAUCAAACUGGCACUGAGGGGUGAUCAGUGGCACCACAUUCGAGCGGGGCUGGAUGCUCCUCUGAGCAGUGUGUGCUGCUUGUGGUGCUUGUACCAGGUUGCCUGUAAACCUGCAGCACCUGAAGAGCAGCAUCACAUCCCAGACUCAUUUUCCUUCAAAGGUGGAAGAGAGCACAUUUUCUCCUCCAAACCAGAAGUAAAGCUGGACUCCCUUUCCUCCCCAAAGCACCCAGUUUUGGUCCCUAAACUGCUCUGCAUUACCAAGCAUCUCAGCUCCCUCCCAUCAUCCACCACCCUGGAUCCCUGUUGCAGUCAAGCUGGCCAAUGGAUUCAGCUGCUUGUGCUCCAGAACAGCACAAUAAAACAUCCAGAAAAUAAUUUUUUCAUUUCCACAUUCUUCCCCACAGUUGCCUGCAAGCCCUGUGCUGUGCUUGGCCGCAAGAGGUUCCCUGGGGCUCACAGGGUUGGGCUGCAUAGGGCAAAAAGAGGGGUCUUUAACUCCCCCCAGUGCCAAAAGGCACCUUUGUGGCCCUGCUGCUCCUGUCCCCAGGUUAUGCACUGGUAUGAUUCGACAGCAGAUGACAGAGGUUAGGAUAAGGCCUGGGAUGGCUGGGAUACUGUUGCCAUGGAAAUCACCCGGUGUCUGGAAUAGCAAGAACAAGAGCAACUCAAAAAGUAAUGAUCUGUCACAUUGAUUAAGGAGGAGUCGGAGGGAUUUUGUUUGGGGAAAGCCUUGUGCUUCAACUAAUAUGAAUCCAUAUGCCACAUCUCUCUGUUUGCCUUCCCCUGAAGGGCUCUGUCAACAGGAAAUCAUCUGAUUUGUGUUGACCGGGGGUUUCUCCAGGGAGUACCGAUGCCGUUCCCGCCCGUCAGCUGCGCUGCACAGCUCUGCCAUCCCAGGAUGAAAGGCACCAAGUCAAUGCAAUAUUCAUUCACUUCCUCUUCCCUCCUUCAUUCAUUUCUUCAUCCAUUCAUCUGCUUCAUUCACAUUUCCCCGGCACUUUAAUGAGCAGUGCUUAGCCCCUGCAGCCUGCGGAGCCUUCCCCGGUACGCUCUGUGCUGCAGAUGGCUGCGGGCUCGUUUAUGUGGCAGGGCAAAGCUCGGCGUGGCUGCAGUGGGGCUGUGCUGUGCCCAGCUGGCACCUGGAUCUUUUAACCCCCCUGCAAUUCCCCCACCAGGUUUUUCCUAUUCCAUCUUUCACAUCUUGGUGAUUUAUCUCUGCUGUGAUUCCCAUCUCAUUCAGGUCCUGUCCUCUCUGUGGGAGCCUGUCCCGGUGCCUCUGCCCGUGGCAGCCCCCCUGGGGGCAGGGGGUGGCUUGGCAGGAGGUGGCAGGAGGUGGCAGGUGGCAUCGCUGGGCAAGCAGGAGGGAGCCAAGUGUGAAAUGGGCAUCACUGGAGUGCUGGUGCCAGGCACUUGGUGCUGAGCCAGAGCCACAAGCAUAAACAUCCUCAGGGCUGUGUCACCGUCCACCUGCCCCACCACACCAAUGCCUUUGUGGCACUUGAGGAGCUUGGGGGGAUUUCUUUUUUUUCUCUGCCUGGUGUCCUGCUCUCAGAGACCAAUUCAUCGGAGGCAGGUGGGUGAUAGUCCCUGUGUGAGCUCCAGGCUUGGCCCAGGGGAGCAGAGCCGUGGGCCAGCAGUUACAGGGCAAGCAGCCAGACCCCCAGUGUGAGCAGCUUGGGCAACGAGGGCUCACAGCCAUGGGCAGGAGCAGGAGGCACAUGCACCAGGCACAGGCAAGUCCCUGGUUUUAGGGAUUUUCCUCAGAUAAGCAUGGCUCAACCCUCCUGUUGCCCAAUUUUGGGCACUCGCAGGGCGUAGAUGGGGGGAACAAGCACGUCUGUACUUCAAUGCCCUUUUUUAACCAACCCAGAACAGGUUUGCAGUUUUUUUUCCCCACUGAUAUGCAAACAUUUCUCUUGAAGAAAAUAAAAUGCUGGGUAGAAACCCAAGAAAGAUUAAAAGGAGAAAACUAAUUUUCCUGCCUGUGAUCUCACGGGUGGAAAACAAUCCCUUCCUCCCCCAGCCCGAAACCCUCCUUGCUGUGCUUGCGUGUGAGCUGUGCUCCGUCGCUCUCCAAACAGCCAAGUGCAUCCCCGAGCUGAAGGAAGCAAACAGAAAACAUCCGUUGUUUGUAUAAAGGAGAAAGCUUUCUCUUUUGUUCCCUGCUUUUUAUCAAGUAUCUGCUGCCAUUAUUGUUACUCACUGGGUUAUUACCUCCGAGUGGCUACUUCCACCAGCACAAGCUGGUUUAUUGUCUGCUCAGAGCAAUUAUGGAUUUGGAUAAUUCCUGCCAUGCUGUUUCAUUGUGGAAGGAUCUGCUGUGUUCUGUGGCCAAGGUAACUUGAGGUGAUUUGUGCUGCUGAGUUACCCAUCAAGUUAAUUAGGAGUGGGUGGCUGGUGCCCCACUGUAUGCUGGGACAGAAGGAGCAGCAGAGGCUGAACCCAGGCAUAUUCUCAGUGUGAGAGGUAUUCAAAGGCAAGUUUGUUCACUGGAGCAGAGACCAGGUUGGGUAUUUUUCUAGGCCUAGUUCAUCUUUAUUCACUGGUCAACAGAAUGUUGGCCAGCACAUCCUCCCUCUGAGGGUGCAGAACCCCAUUGCUCUGUGUGUGCAGAGGACAAGAGUGUCCCUGCAGGACUUGCAGUCCUGGUGGAAGACACUUGCUGUCUUGUUCAUUGCUUAUCUAGGAGGUCAUUUUGUUCUUCAUCCUGUGCUGCAAAGACAAGAUGAGGAAAGUGUUCCUUGGGCUGCACGGGAUUUCCCCUUAGGAACUGCCUCACCUGCCUGGUUGGAGAGGAAAAAUAAAAUGAAAAUGCUUCUCUGAAGUAUGAAAUCCAGACCUGCUGGGCCUCGUGCAUCUGUGGAGAUCAGAGCCCCAGUGCUGUCGUGCUGCCUCUUUGAACCAGGGGGAGUUUCACCCCAGGCAGGAACAUACACCUGGCUUCAUGGCAGAGGGCUCAGCCUGCAGGUUGCAAAAGUACCUGGUUAUUUUUACUCCUUUGAUACCUGAUCCACUAUCAAAAUAACUUAUUUCUUUCUCUUUUACUUCCUAGGAAUCCGAAAAAACUUGCCAGGGGCAAUAACGUUUAUUGGUGAGGCACCGCCAAACCCCCCGUGUUGUCCAUGCACAGAAGGGGUUGGGGUCAUCCCCUGCACAGCCCCCCAGCCUUGGCAUAGGGUUUCUCCUGAAGAUGUGAGGGUUUUGUCCUUCAAGAGCAGCUGCAUGGGUAUUGCACUCCAGAUACUCAGGGCAGUAACAAUGUGUUUAUACAUUCACUUGCUAAUAAAUAAAUACAAAAGUGUGACACUUUUAAGCACUUGCUAAGGCUGUAACAAACAUGUUUUUUCCCACAGUUAGUAACCUGUGGAUUAGGAAGCCAUGAUUUUUAUUUAUUUUUAAUAGCACACCAUGAGGACAGAUUAGCAUGAGACUAUAAUGCCAUCACAUGGUCUCAAAACCCUCUGUGCCAAGACCACAUCCAAAUUCAGCACAAGCAGCAGUGAGCCUUUCUAAGGAGGCUUGAUGGUAAGAAGUGUUUUCUUUUGCUGUCUUAGAGACUGUAAGUAGCAGAAUUGAAUUUCUGGAGUUGUAUGUGUGCACAGAACAUCAAAAAUGGCAUUGUUCAGUUAUUCACCCCAUUAUUAAGCUUGGCCCUCCAUAUCCACCUGACACAGAGAAGCCCUGCUGGACCCACUUACCAGGGCUCCUCUUGGGUUUGAUACUCAGCUCAUACCCCAGGACAGGUCAACAUUUUCUCCAUUUCCUAAUAUUUUCUUGAGCAAAGUAUGGCCUCAUGCUUGCUUUGCUAUUCAGUCCUGGCCCAUCUGGACUCUCAGAUAUCCCUUCUGCAAGAAACUGAUGCUUCAAACUGAACUGAAUGUACACAAAGACUUCACCCCUUUCCUACCACAGGUUGGACCCCUGGAAAUAUCCUUUGGUGAUGCAGGUGCCAGGAGACAGUAGGAAGCCACCUCUCCCCUGCUCCUCUUUGUUCUGUCUCUGGUUCAGCCAAGGCUCUAAGGGUCUGGAAAUCUAUCCUGAAGUUUCAAAACAGUCUUCCUUGUGUUCUCCCUUGUCGGUCUGAGUUCCCAGAGCAAAGGGUGAACAGUGGUCAUUUGUAGAGUGAUCGGCCUUCAGCAUCACAGUGACAGUAUCUGGAGCCCUGGAGGACAGCCCUGCCUGCCUGUGGGAAGGCAGAGAGCAGGCAGGACCAGGCAACAGCUUUGAUGCCAUUCCUGCUGCCUCCUUUUUCCAUCAGCCACGUGGGACAAGCUCCCCUUUUCUGCUCAAAAAAGUGCCUGGAUCAAGGUUUCGCAGCUACUCUUACCUUUCCAGGGUGCACUAAGGUGUGACUGGUUUUCUCCAAAGGUAACUCAAUGCCUGAGUGGAUCAUUAGGUUCCAGGAUCACUUGGGAGACACAUGGAAGCCAACAUCCACCUGCCAGCUGUAGAUGGGCUCCAUCCACUUCGAGGCAGCAUCCAGACAGGCACCCAGCAGUGGCAUCUUGUCAAGGGACUGGAGAUCUCCAUCAAAUGAUGGCCACGGACUCCAAACUGUGAAUCCCUAUUCCCGGACUCUGAGCUCCUGAGGUUGAUUUUACCACUUCAAUAUAAGUGAAAAUUAUGUGGAUUGGUGGCAGAAGCAAGUUAUAUGACGAGUGGAGAGGAAUACAUCUCCAGAGCCAGGUUUCUGCUUCAGACAAGGCUGCAGCAGGCGACGGCGCCCGGCUCUCCCGGCAGAGACGGCUACAAUGAAUAACCCAAGAGGCUCUGGUAAAAAUUACUUGAGUUAAUUAAAUGAGCAUCUGUGGCAUGGCUAUUUUCUCUGCAUGCCCUGGCUCUUAAGUCCUCAUCUCUGAGGGGAGAAAGUGUCAUUGAACCAAUUUAUUGGCAGUGCCGGUUCUCCAAAGCAGAGGUGGUCACCCUUGGUGUCCCAUUGUCUCUGAGAUACCCACUGUAGGUACCUGAGCCUCAGCUGGGACUGAGCACUGUUAGACCUUGUGACAACGUUUUCUAGAUGCAGAGAACUGGGAUGAGGAAAUAUUCCGGGGAGUUUCUAUGCUGAUGCUCACAGAGGGAUGGCAUUGCCUUCCCUCCAGCUGCUGCAAGCCCAGCAUGGGACAUGGUGCUGGGUGGCAUCUGCAUGGGGAGGGCAGGCUGGGUCCAUGGUGUGCUUCAAGACUCCUCAAAAAUUAUGCAAACCCAGAUCUUCCCUUUCCUCUUGUUAUAUGCAGCAGGUCAGGUCCUGCUCUGGAAGUCACUGAGUUGUGGAUCAGCCACGUAGCUGAUGGAAGUGCUGCUGCUGGCCUGUGGAAGGGCUUUUGGGGUGGGUUUUACUUUUCAGCCAACCCAUAAAGGAAAGAAUAAGCUUUUAUUUUCUUAGCCAUCACUUUCUGCAGCCUGUGUCAAGCCAACAAUGGCCGGGUGUUCCUCUGAGGCUGUAAAAUAAGCUCAUUCAUCCUUUCUCUCUAUCUGUUGUAGGGCAAACAAAAAAAAAAAAGAGAAAUCCAGUGAGCUCCUGUUUGCUUUCCGAAUGGAGCCUGUGGUGUGGCACCAGCAGCCAAGCACUGCUCUGGGUCAAACAUGAAGGCAAUGUGCUGUUUGUGUUCCCUCAGCCACAUGGAUGCAGACUGAGGGAGAAGGCAGGAAUUGUCAGUGGCAGCCUCUUGUGGGCUCCUCCUCACCACGGGGAGCCUCCCUCCGGCUGCCUUUGCCGGAGCUCUGUAAUUUCCAGCAGGAUCAUGUUCACCAUGGGCCUUGCAGGGAACAAGGCUCGAGUUUCAGUCCGUGGCCACCUUCUUGAGUCAGGGCUGAAUAAGUGCCUCAUGCUGAGCACAAAGGGCCCUGGUGCUGCUGGAGAUGCUGUUUUGGUGGUGGUGGUGGAAGCUCAACCUGCAUCAGCGUGGGGAUGGACAGGGGAUGCUGUCACUUGGCACAUAGUGGUGGUCUGUUGUGCAGCACUGAAAUGCCGCAGGAGAGAUGACAAAGUGACAUCUCUGUCUUUGGAAAGAGAAGCAGUAAAAGGGUUACCUGGCUCCCUGAGAAGGGGCUUGGUGCAGGAGUUUGGAUGCUAUCCCAAAACUUCCUGCUGGUCACAGGAGACUAGAGGUGGCAAAAUCUCCAGCAUGGCUGUGGCACAAGGAAUCCCACCUGGGGAGGGAGGAGGAAGACUCACAGGACUGGUUGAGGAGGGAAAGGAGUGGAACAGACAUCCCUCCCAUCCUUCCAGCAGGUUUAUGGCCUAUUCUUUGGUGUGUUUUACUGGUCCAAAAGCAGAGCAGCCUUCUGUCCUGCUGAAUUCCUCCCAAACUCUCCCAUCACGGCAUGACCAGUAUGAAUGCCAGCAGCUGGAAGACUGAAAUAGCAGCUACCAUUGCUUAGGCUCCACUGAUUUGUCCUGUGGUUUUUCCGUGUCCUUUAAUCUCCAGUAAAUAAUCCCUCACUUCCUUGUGGUCUUUCUAAUUCCAUGCUCUGUGCCGGUGCUUCCUGUAAACAGCAGAGCUGGUGGCCCUUGCGUGGCCACCGCCGUGUAAUUGAGGCUCUCCCCUGCUGUGCAAAGGGCAUGUGACAGGGCUGUUUGUCAGGCUGGAUGUGGCUGUGUGUGGCUAAAUAAUGGAAACACCAGAUUGUCCUUUCCAUUGAGCCUGGAGAAGUCAGGGCUGGCUCUGACGAGGCCAUUGGAUUGAUACAGGUGUAAAACCAGCACAUGUGAGAGCAUCAGGUGCCGGCACCCAAGGAAUUGCACCAUCUGGCCUCCAGUAAUCAUGAUUAGACCAGUGCUCAAAAGCAAAAUUGGGCUGAAUUAGAGGCAAUGAGGUCCCUCCAGCACGUGUGCAAUGGUGCUUGGUCUUUGGGGCAGGAGCCAUGUCCUGUGCAGAAGCUGUGACAGACCUUGCUCAGCCCUUCAUUGCCACAUCUCUCAUCUAAAAUUCUGAGUGGAGUUCUAAAAUAAAAGAAAACUAUGAAUGGCCUGUGCUGAAUGAAGGCCCUUCUUCAUCUGGGCUUCCCCACAGGCUUGAUCUUUUGCACUCUUGUAGGUGAGAGGCCUCCAAGGGUGGUUUGGAAGGUGUUUUUCUGAUCAAAAUAUCUUCAGCUGUUUUAUGGUGGCAGGAACUGCAUGAUUUGUGUAUGAGAUACCCAUCUUCAAGCCUAAGAGCCUUUAUUUUCCCCAGGUGAGUCUGUGUUGAACCAAUGGUGGAUCACGGAGGGUUGUGACGAGCUGGGCUGCACUUUUUGGGUGGCACAGCUUUUCCUCCUGUCUGAAAUCUCUUCUCUCUGGGUUUGUGUUUACUGGUGGAUCCCUCCACAGAUACCUGAGCAAACAACAAACCAUUUUUGUAGGAAUAUCUUUGCUCCCAAUGUACCUCAGACUCUCACCUGUGCUUGUCCUGGCCAUCCUUGUGUAUGGGGUGUCUGUGCAUGCCUGGCUGAAGAUGACAGUGUGAGUUUGCUUGUGGGGGUGGUUGUGGACUCUGGUGCAUGCAAUCCUGCCAGCCCUGCCAAUAUUUGCAGCUUGAAACAUUAACAUUUAGGUAUUUACAGGGCCAAGGGAGGGGUCCUAUAACCAGACCCUUCGCACAUGCUCUUUUCCAGAAUAGCUGCUUCCAGAAAUUUCCAGGUUUUGAUCCUUUGGCCAUUUCAUGUAAGUCCCAAUUUAUUUAUUUUCAUUUCAUAAGCUCCCCACAGCCAAGCAGAGACAGCUAAAGGAAUCCUGCUCAGUCUUCCAGCAUUAACAUCCCAGUUAUCAGAGCUUCUUCCACAGGUGUGUGUGUUGGAACUCCUGGAAGUAUUUUCAGAGCUGAAGUGUAAGCAGGGAAUCAGUUUGGAGUGGCAUGGGAGGUGCUCAAAAAAAUGCCAUGAGGGAAAUGAGAGCCUCAGUUUGUCUCAUUUGAUGCCACUUAACGUGUGACACCUUGUUUAAAAUGGGGCUGUCAACAGCAAAUAUAUAGUAGAGCUGAGGUUUUCCAUCAAUGCUAACGACCCAGGUGCUUGUAUCCUAGGGAACUCCAUGUAUCCUGCAGCUGGCUGGAGUGAUAAGACAUGACCAGUGCCCAUCCUGUUCUGUGUGCUCUGGUGUUGGCUCAAGAAACUCAGGAGGGCUGAUGCAAGGAAGCAGGUGGGAAGUUUGGGUUUCUGGCUGUUCACACAGCUCCAGAAUGACUGAAUGCUGGCAGGAGAAAUCCCAGAGCAUCUCAUGGAGAUCAGAUGGGGAAGAUAAUCUCCUCACCCCUUGGAAGACUGGGAAUUGCUGGCUUUUUUCAUUGCCACCUUUCCCUUGUGAAGUAGAAGCCACAUUAUCACCAGGCUGAGCAGUUUUGGCUAAUGCAGAAUUAGACUAAGGCAAAACUCCUACAAGCUGUUUGAUGGUUCCCUGAGUCCUCUUGAAAGCAUCACAAGUGUGGAUGAAAUUCUCCAUUCUCUGUGUAUUUUUGCCUGUGCUCAUGGAUCUGCCUGGCCUCAGGCUGACCAUGUGCCUCCACCACUCCAUUUUUUCUGACAAUGGGAAUGUGAGAAGCCUUGAGAGGGACAGAAAGGCUUUGCCCAGGGAGCAGUAGGAGCCCUCCAGACCUGAAGCAAAUAAUCGUUGCCUGGAACUGGUCCCUUUGGCUCCAGGCACUGCUGAAUUUGCUGGUGGAGAAAACCACUGCCUUGGAUCAAAGCACUGUUAAAGGAGACUUCACAAAAGUGAAUGGCUAGUGGUCAAGAAGAGCUGCCAGACUCCUGCUUUCUCAGUAACUAAUAAAAGUGCUUUUUAACACAAUUAAUGUGAUGUCUUGCUAAAGACUGAAGGAAAUUGGAAUUGAGACAUUUGUAUUUUGACAGACUCUGUGGAAAACUUCUGUUCAGACUGGUAGGAAUGAAACCAAUAAAUUUCUGAAGAAACUUUCUGAAUUCAGCCUUCAAGAUAAUAGAUAGGCUGUUCUGACUGUGGAUAAAUAAACUCUGUUUUUAUAAGCGUUUAAAGACCUUCAGGAUGACGAAGUGGAACAUACUUCAAGUCUCCAAAGAUGGGAAGUGGCUUCUGAGUCAAAUGCCCUCCCGUGCCAGGGCUCGUAUUUUAGACUGAGAUCAGUCUUUUGUGACUUGUUGACAGGUUUUUUGUUGUACUUUGAAGAAAAAAAGGGAAAACGUCCCAGGCUGAAAAUAGCAGUGAAACAUUCCCCAACUGACCAACCUGUUCCUCAAGAAAACUUCCCAGGGAAAAUAAACCUCCAGCUGCACCCCCAAAACCGCCGCCUAAGAAAAGGCACACUGAGCAAUGAUUAGGGUAAAAAACCCUAUUUUGGGUUACCACAGCCCUUGCCUGUGGUAAUUGCUCCUCUCUUAUCUUGUGGUGAAGGUCAGCACCUGCAGAAGGAAGAUUUGGUUCCCACCAGAAAGUGCUUAGAGGGUGGACUCUCAAGGUGGGAAAUUUGGGAGCAACUCCCUCCCUUUUUACUUCCCCCUCCUGUGAAGAACAACCCCCUCCCCUUGCGAUUCCUGCUCUCCCUGGCAGCAGCUACAGCCAGCCUAAAGAGAGGAGGUGAAAAGGCUGGAUCAGAGCUCAUGGCUUUCUGGAAAAUCAGGGCAGGUCUCUGCAUUUGUGCAAGGCCAGGGCUUAACUCUGCAAGUGAAACCAAACAGAUGCAAGCCAGAGCCAUGGGUGGCAAGCAGUGCAGAAGCCUUAGCACUGACCUUUGUUUGCUUUGCCCUCCUAUGUAUCCACAGGCUGAUGGGAACUGUUGGAGGUGUUGGACAGAGGCCAGCAGGAUAUGCUUUAUUGGGACUGAAUAUAAAGUCACAUUUCUGGAGGAAAAAAGAGGUAUGUCACAUAUACAGGGUGAAGCCUAGACCAGGCUGAUGGGCUCUGAAUGUAUGUGGGCCCCUGUAGUGGAAAGUGGCCAAAGGAUGGUCCUGGCACAAGGGUGGGAUGCUGGAGCAACGUGCCUUGGGAUCCAACAGCAGUUCAAUGGCCAAGUCACUGAGGUUCAGAGGCACGAGCACAUUUCAAGGGCUGGCUCAAGGAACUCUGUUCCUUUGGUUUCUCAGAGAGAAAAUGAAGGGAGAGUAGGUCAGGGCUUGUGAAGUACAAAGGUGAUGGAAAUGGGGGAGUAACGGGAUUUAGGAGGCACAGUCUUAUAAGAUGGCUGGAAAUGGGCACCCAAUUAAUUCAGCAUUUAUUACUUGAAAGUCAUUAAUCGGGGAACUAACUUAGCAAGGCUGGUAAUGAUCCUCCUCUUCUGAGAAUGUUUUGAUCAAGACUGAUCCCUCCCUGCCAAAGAAGAUGCUCUAAUUGCUGUGAAAAUGAGUUCAGGUCUGAGUUGCCCCAGGGAUGAGCCUGGAUGGCUGCAGCAACCCACCCUCUGCCUUCAAGGCUGGAUUAGGGGAAGGCAGGUUGUCCUUGCCAAGGAGCCAAGGGGGAGCAGUGGAGGAUCUGGAGAAGGUGCUGAGGCUUUGACUUGUGCAGAUUUCCCAGGAGCAGGCAGACACGGCAGCAUCCCUCCGGCUCAGCACAGGGGCCAGCCUGCACCUCUGCUGCUGCCUCAGCAGCCCCUCUUGGGCUUUGACUGCUGGGUGGAUGGGGGGAGAAAAGGAGAGGGUUUUGCUAUCAGGGGAAAAACCUUAAUCUGCUUGCAGUGAACCAGCUCACACCCUGGCUGGCUGCAGGGAACGUGUUCUCCUGCUGCCAGAGACACCACAGUUGCUACAGCAACUGCAAAGCACUGAGACUCACCAACACUCUCACUCUGCCACCUUCCAACCCCCCAAAAUAAGGCAGAGCAGAGAAAGUGAUGGUGAGGAGGCAAAAUAAAUGGUAGGGGUGUCCCUCAGCAGCCAUGGCUGCUCUAUGUUCUGUUCCCAUCCCUCCACAGCAAGUGCUCAGGCACUGCUGCGUUCCCAUCAGUCCUGACAAGCACUUGGUUUCCAGGUCAAUAUGAUUCCAUUCACUAGACCUGCAUCCCAGGGAUGGCUCAGCAGAGCAUGCACUCAUCCCAGCCUGCCAUCCACCCCAGGCACCCACCCUGUGGGGUCUGUGGGAGGCAAGGCUGGGUCAGACCCUCGGCGCUCGUUCAGUCGCUGGGGCCGGUGCAGGAGCUGUUGGGAUGGGGAUGCACUGCUGGGGAUGCACUGCUGGGGGUGCUGCAGGGAGCACCACAGCAAGGGGAGGAUAAAGCCGAGCUGAGCUUUGCCAGCCUGCCAUCUCAUUACUCUUUAAAUGGGGCUCUGUGUGGUUCCCAGCACUGUGCCAUCCUGCCUCCAUAAAAGCUCAUGGUUUCCCCUGGUGCCGCUCUCUUAAAUAUUUAAUGACAGGAGGAAGAGCUGUUUUAAGAAACACUUCAGUGCUUGCAUCUGAACAGGAGGUUGUUUCAGGUGGCCAGAGCAGACAAGAAAACUCUUUAGCUGUUAAUUUUUCAGGAUCUUUCAGCUGUUGAAGGAGUGGCAGCAUGAUGACGCAGGCCAGGGGGCAAAGGAGAGAUCUUUAAGGUGUCUGGAGAGAGUAAAGACUCCUGGGGUCUGUUCUUGAUCCUUUUCCUGACUUACAUGUCAGUGUGGCUUGAUUUCUUAUAUUGAAACACUUGAACAAGGCUAGUUUUGGAGCUUUAGUGAAAAAUUCUUGAAGUUCACCUGCCCCUGAUCUUAGCCGGGCACUCUGUCCUCCCCACCUGCCUCUGGAUGGGUCAGUUUUGCUGAGUGCCAAGGAUAUUUGAAGGUAACCACUUGCCAGAGACUUCCUAAGGAUUUAUUUGGGUUCAUGAAGCGAUUUGAAAAGCCUGGAUAAAAGGCUGUGGAAGGAAAUGUGCUUUAAUCCCAGCCAAAUCAUAAAUUAGGCCACCAUUAACACAAAUGACUGCUUGAGAUGAGGCUCAUGUGAGAGGGGAGGGCUGUGCUUCUCCUUCACUGGCAGUCCUGUGUCCCAGUGCAUCCAGUCCUACAGGGACCAGCUCAGUUAUUGCUGACACUCAGGUGUCAGAGUAUGGGGCACCAACAGAGCUAAUGGAAGUGUUGCCACAGCCCAUAUUAUCUUAUUUUCCUGAUAAAACUCCUUUCCCCACAGGGCAGCUGGUGUCAGGCUGAAAUCAGUGGCCUUAGGCACCAUUUCCAGAAGGGGUUGAGCACAAGCACUGUUUAAACCAGUAAGAUGUCCCAGGCACAGCAUAUGUGGUGUCUGUGCCACACUGGUUCUUAAUGGGAAUUGUGAACUCCACACCAAAGCUUUUUGCCAAUCCCAGCCCCUUCCCAUGCAGCUGUGGUGCAGUUAGGUUUUCAUUUGAAUUAGCAAAAACAAGGGUGUCAGUCAUUUCUCUGCACUGACUUUGUGAAAGGGCAGGUCAAUAAUUUAUAUCCUUAAUAUUUGAGGGCAGCAUUUGUGGAACCUUCUGUUGCUGCGACUCAGGGUAAGAAGGAACCUUCCAAGAGAGACAGCCUGGCUGCAGUGAGCCCCUGGAAGGUGCAUGGAGCACACCAAGAGGUGUUUGCAUUAGUGGUUUUGAUGGGGAUAAGAUUUCUUAAUUAGCAAGACCUUCUGAAAAGAUCCUGGUGCAAAACUACAGCUAAAAUCAAUCAGCAGACACGGAUGAGUGGAUUUCUGCUCAUCUAAAGGCAGGAAAAGAAAUAGUGCAAGAUCUGCUUGGUGCUCCAGAGGGGAGGAUUUCACUGCUGCUGAAUGAAGCUUGCAGGAUCUCUGCAUCCUGGGAAAGGUGGCUGGAGCAAGCAAUCUGGCCAAAGGGAAGCUGGGGGGUGCAGGGCAGCCCUUUUCUUUUCUUUUCUUUUCUUUUUUUUUUGAGGGUCAUUAAUUAUCUCCCAUCAGCAAAGCACUUUGAAGGUGAGAUGUGCUACAUGAGUGCUAAGGAUUACAGGGUUUGUGUCUCUUGCCUCCAGGUCCCUGGGUUAGAGGGACUGGAGCUGAAGGCAAGGCUGGGAGCUCCACACUCUGCCUGCUGCUCUGCCUCUGCAGCACAGCCAGCCCUUUCCUAAAGGUUUGGAAAGGGUUUAUGUGCAAACUCUUUCCAAAACCCCCAAAUCACGCUGCCAGCCAGGGCUUUAGCCCUGCUCAGAGGGCACAGAACCUGGCAGGAUGGGGCCCUGUUUGUCUCUUUAUCCCUCCCCAGCUCUGCUUGAGCAAUAACCUACUUUCUUGCUCUGCAGAAGGAACAUCUUGGAUUACGUUGCUGCAAAUGAGAGGUUUCAGUCAUGGUAUCAGAUGAGCUGCAGGUAAGCAGUGGGUUUAGUGUCAGCUCUUUUGGCAGCUUCUUUAUUCUCUCUCUGCUUUGCACAAACAAACCACCUUUGUGUGGAAAUUCAUUUUCCUUUUCAGCCGCAGCCUUUGUCAACAGGGCUUCCCAAUAAUCCUCUCUGUGCAGAUAAAGGUGAGCCAGCAGCCAAAUGGGAGCCCUCACCUCAAGCCUGCUGCCCACUCUGGUUCAUUAAAGAACUUUCCUCUCUAUUGCAGGCUGUGGGUUGUGCUCACAUGAUGGAUCCUAAAUCCCAAGGUGACACUCAGUUACCCUAACUCCAUCCUAAUCAGCCCCAUGCAAUUAAGGUGCAAGGGAUCAAAACCCCAAAUGGUGUGGGAUAACGUAGUGCCUUUUUGACCUCAUUAGGCAAUUCAGGGCAUUAUCCACCAAACUCCAGUCCAGGAUACAGGGAGAGAAAGAAAAAUUUUAAUUCACUUGGGCUGCCUCUGUCCUUUACCCAUUCAUUCUCUUUGGCCUCACAGGGCUCUCAGACCAAUAUAUCUAAACACUAUAUCACUUUAUAUUAAAACCAUUUAACACAAAGCCUGUCAUGGGCCAGGCUGUGGGUUGCCAGGACAGGACCCUGCCAAGGAUUCGCACUGCCCCAGUUUAAGUACGGAAGGCAGGAGAAGGGGCUGACUGUGCCAGGGAAGCAGCACCUACCUCCACAGCCCCAUGCCUGACUUUCCCUGCUGACUUGGAGGACUUUAACUUGCAGCCUCCUUAACUGCUUCAUUUCUGCGAAGUUGCACAAUCCCACCCCCAGCAACAUCACGAACGUCUCCAGCAACACGAAGGCGGGUGAGCUGAAAUGCCCUUGCUGCCGAGCUAAAUAGCAUCAGGGCUCAUUCUACUGCUUAGAAAUCUUUAAGGAAUCAAGCAGGUCGAUGAAUAAUCCAAUUUAAAAAUCAUAACAGAGGUGCUGGGUAACUGUAUACAACGCUGGCCUAAAUUCAUACAUCAAGUGACAAGCCGUAAUGAAAAAUUAAAGGACCCUGCAUGGUACAAGUUGGUGCUGUACUGUUUGAAUCCUGGGAAACAGCGACUUCACACAGGAGCAGCUCUGCCCCUGUCCCUUUUUCCUGCGCAGAAAUGCUGCAGGGAUACAGACAACUUGCGCAGGCAUCAGGGUUUUUUUUCACCAGCUUGUGGCUUUUAAACCUCAGCAGUGCUAAAACGUGACGUGGACUCGCAGAGGACACGUGCAGCCCGUGGGGUGAACUGCAGCCUGAACAGUUCCCCAGGCAGCUGGGGCUCCGUGUCCUUCUAGUAAUAAAUUCCUCCUGGACAGUGUUUCAGGGGAUUGCUAGGAUUUGAGCAGAGAGGAGGAUGGCUGGAAGUGAGACAGGCUCCAGGUUUAUCCUUGAAAGCCCCUGUGCUGCAGAGCCUGGGGCUGCCUUUGGCAGCCUGCCUGGAGGAAGAUGUUGGAGGCUGAAGGCUGCCUUGUGCUGUAUGAACCACCAAUCCUCUCACCAGCCAGCUAAGUUGGAGAUAAAUCUCCCUAUUAGCAAUGCAUAAAGCAGGCCAAAAUCUGAACAGCUCCUUAGGCAGGAGGUGAAGCAAAAACUCAAAAUAACUUAAAAUAAGUCCUUUCUGUGCUCCUGGCUGGAAAGUGGCUGUGUUGGAGCUUUCCCAUAGCUUGCCUGGCCCUUCUGACAGGAGAGCAGGGUGCUAAGGCUGUGCUGUGCUUGUCAACACGACGGAUGCAAAGAAUCAGGUAAAAAAUAACCCCAUCCCAACGUCAGCAGCAGAGCUGAGAGGAACCAGAAGUCCUGAGCCGUUUCGAAGUUGUGUUAAAUAAUAAAGCAGAGAAAUGAAUAAAUUAGCUCAGCAUCUAUUUAGGUCAGCCCUCUCCGUUUCUCCCAGCCGCCUCCGUGUGCCUCCUCCCCGCAGCGAUCAGCUGCUCCGUACACGCUGUGCCUGCGGAUCCGCUCCCUCCUUCCCAACAGCCGGGCUCUCGGGAAGCGCGGGUUGAGCAGGUGUCACGUCGGCUGCACACGUUCACCCCAGCCUUCAGAAGCAGCAGGCGAGCUUCCUUUUCCAUCACUGGGGCAAAAAGUGUUCUGGAAAAUCCCAUUAAAGCAAGAGGCGUGGGCUGAGCGCACACGGCUGCUCCCUUCCUGGCGUUAUCCCCUCCAUGCAGCCCUGCCAGGAGCCACAGGGUCCUGCUCAGUGGGCUUGCAGCUGCCCCGGAGCCGUGUCUCCAUGCUCUGCCUGCUCAUCUGCAGUCAGCCUGCUUGUCAUCCAGCUAUUUUCCAUUCCCAGCUUCCAACCACGGCAGCACCUCCAUCUUUGCAGACCAUCCUUCCCCACAUUGCAGGUGCCCCAGGCUCAGUUUUGUGAUUGUAGUUGACAUUUGUUGAUUUGGGGAUAUCCAGCCAGAUGGACCAGGCUGACUGACAGAGAUGGGGAAUCAGUUUUAAACCCCUAAGCUCUCCUCAAAUCACUCAAAUGCUUCCAGGAAAAUGCAUCUACCAUUCAGUCCUGUCUAUGUCUUUAUUUAUACCUUUCCCAAGCCCAAAAAGCCCUCUUUGAUGUCCAGAGCAUCUCAUGGGUUUCAGCUAUAAGCAAGCUGGAGAAACACUCACCAAGAUGGAAUUUAUCUGCAUCAAGGGCUGCUCCAUCUCAGCCCAACUACUGCUGGUCCUCCCAAACCCCGCAGGUAGCUGGAGAAGGCCGCCAGUGAUGAACCCAGCCAGCAGCAUCAUCCAGGAUGUAGGCAAUGGAAAAUGAGAUGUUACUAAGUUUGGCCAGGCUGAGCUGGCUCCUCGCGGGUCCCAGCCUGUGAGUCACCGGUACGUGGGCCACCAGCACGGCCUCCCCUCUGGAGGAAGGAGUGGAGGUGGAAAAAUAACAAGAGGAAACCAGCUGUUAGUAGUGCCAGCUCUGGGGAGAGUGGGAGGAGGUGGCAGGCCUGGAGAGAAAGGUCAGGGCCGCAUUUCAGGCUGCUUCCUGAUUUUUCCUCCUGCCUUCAUGGUAGGAAGCUGCUUACAGGAAUACGCUUGUGGACCAUGUGUGGAGGGUCUGGGCUGAUCUGAGGGAUGGGCUCUGUGGGGGAAUGACAACCUCCAAGGGCAGCCAGUAGUGAUGGAGCAUUUGUUUCUGGUCCCUGCUCACCCAUCUCUUCUGGUUGCUCCUCUGACUUCUACUGAGUUAAGCUUGAUUAUCCUGUUGAAAGCAACUUUUAGCCCAGUGCAAACAUUGUAAAAGAAGAUGCACUUUGCAGAUGUACUUGGAACAGACACAUCCACCUCCCCACUGUGGAGACUCCCACACCAGUGCAGGGUGUUUGUUGCCCAGUCCCUGCCCCCUCCUGGCGCUGAUGUCCAUCUGCAGCUAAGCCAGAGACUCUCGCUCACACUGUUGUGCUGAUCCUUGGUGACAGUACUGACAGGGGGAGACCCAGACAUGGAUCAGGAGCCAGUGGCUCUGUUCCUUGUCCAAAGCCAAUGCAAUGAAAAUAUUAUUGGGGGAAACACUCACUAAAGGAUUGCAGGUCUCCAAUCUCUUCUCGUGCCUCAGCUCUGUAACUGGUGCUGACUGCAGUGCACCAGUGGGGGACACAAGCCUCAGCUACUGUCCCCAUGUCCCUGCCAUCAGUCCAGGAGCACAUGCAGGGCUGUGCCACGCCAGCUCCCCAUUCCACAAGGAUAUGUGUGGCUGUGGAUCAGCACUUCUGCUACCCUUUGCCUUGCAAGAACUCCUUCUCUCUUGAACCCUCCAGUCUGACAGUUGCCACCGGUUCCCACUGUUUUUUCUCACCUCCAAUUGCAAAUGCACAGAGCCAGAUUGUCUCCCUGGCACUUUCUGUAAGUGAAAAGUAUUUCUUCAUGUCUUCAAGGAAAUUGUAACAGCUGCCAGGGAAAAAAAAGGCACAGCCAGGUAGGAUGCCAGGUCAAGGGGGAAACUGCUGUGUGAUUCUCUCUAGUUAUUGCCUGGAGAUGUCCCUUCUCCAUGACUGGGACUAGUCCUCUCACUUUGAGCCAGGAGCGGGAUCUGUUAUGCUCAGGCUCCCUCUAGUGCCUCCAUGUCCCGUUGUUCCUGGCUUCUCUGGAGGCGUGUUGGUCCAUUUGUCCCUGGGGACUGUCAGUCAUCCUCACUCCCCUCCAUCACACCUCGGGCUUGCUGCACAGCGAAGCCCUGUUUGCCCACAAGCUGGGAACAGCCCACAAACUGCCCCAAAGCCAUCACAGCCUGCCAGGGACCUCUUGGGGACCUGCCAAACAGCCCAGCCCUGCCUCUGCCUGCUGAGGCAAAAGGAGGAUGAUGGAGGUGGCCAUAUCCCACAGGAUGCUCUCCUUGACAAGGCACAACUCUGCACACAGCAGCUCCACCUCGAUUGUGUCUCCAGGGAGCAAGGCAGGAUGAGUGAUGGGUGGCAAGUGCCUGAGCUGCCCUGGGAGCAGCCCAGGCUGGGAGUGGGCACCUUCGCAGUGAGCCAGCUGGGGUGGCCAAAACCAUCACUGCACUCUCCCCACUGCUUGAUACCUCUCCCCAGGGGAGCAGCUUUUAGGGGUGUCCCACAGUCCAUGCCAAGCAAAGUCAGCUGAGCUCCAAAUCAACACCUGAAACUGUUUAUCACUUAUUUUGUCUGGUGUGGAGGACACUGAAUAGCAGAGGCCGCCUGUGUACUGGGGCACUGCAGAGCUACACUGCUACUCUCUGUCCAACAUGAACACAGCCUUUCCUUGUCUUCUUCCUUUGGAAAUGGGGAGGAAAUUUCUUAAUGUCUUGGGAAAUGACUGCCCUCAAUCUCCAUUCAAGCCCUACUUGUAAAACUCAUCCUGGCUCAGCUCUGGCAUCAGCACCACCCUGGGCCAUGGACAGCCCCGCAAGCACCCCUGUUCCAGAGAGCACCGUGCAGAGCUGGGGGCAGCCUUAUCUUCUCACAUAACAAGGAGAUGUUCUUUGGAAUCAUCACCAAUCAAGGUAGGUCCUGUAACUGCAGAUACAACAGCACACUUGGCCAGGCACCCUGGCAGGGCUGGUGCUGCACUGGGUGAACAGAUACACUGAGCACGGGGGAGUGUGGGGUCCCACAGCUGUUUCUCAGUUCCAGAGGGUCAGCAGCAGGACACUUUUGCUGCCAGCUGCUGGGAAAGGCCUCCUGAGUGGCUUCCCCAUCUUGUGCCCAGCCAUCACUGGCCUGUGAGCAAGCAGUGCCCAAGGCAGGUACCUAAGGCACCUCUUGCUUUGUUCACCUCUCAGCAUUGGCUGUGGCAGCUGCCUGAGCCCUGAGACAUUUUGGGAGAAGUUUCUCACAUGUGACAUCUUCCUUAAAUGUAUCAGAAUAUAUAAUAUCAGAACACCUACAUAAUAUUGCAUCAGGUGUCAACAAACCCCAGUCCAUAUCCUUUUGGGGUGGGUCACAGUGGUCCCCCAGAAAUUAGUGAUGUUUUCCUGGUUUAUACCUGCAGAGUGCUUGGCCUGGGCACCGAGCUCUCUGAGUCCCUGGCAUUACUAAAUGGGAACAGCUGUGGUAAUUCAUUACCCCAAGACAAAUGUCAGCUCACAGGGAGGGAAGAAGCAAGGUUAGGGGAGUCUGCUGAAAUGUGGUGUCAGCAUGAAAACUGUGACAAACCCAACAGAGAUCCCUCAGCAUAAAUGUGUGUGAUGCAAGGACAGUGACUGAGAUAACACGGUCCUCAAAGGCACUGUGAGAUUUUUAUGUUAACCUAUGAUUUUUUUCAUAAUUGUUUUGCUGCUGGAGUACUUACAAUCCUAUUUAAUGAGCACAGCUCCUUUAAUAGAGGACACUUGGGGUAACAUGCGCUAAUUAAGUCUGUAAUAACUAAAAGUAUGAUUAAAGGUUUUGAACUGGCCAAUCAUUCCCAGCAGUGCCAUAAUUAGAGAUGUGGCAGCUCAUCAGAGCACAAAUUCAAGGGGGCUUGAUCGCCCAAUGGUACACACAGGUCUUGAUCCUGUCUUGGAUCAUCCUUUUUACUUGAUAUUCUGCAUUGGUUUGCAGUGAUUUAUAAACCACCCUGAAUAUGUUACACUCAGCCCUGUAAACUGAACAAUCUUCCAUAGUUUUAUUUUAAUAGUUUGUCUUACAGGUCUUGUAUUUCACCUGGGCAUUAAGCACAGCUUCUCUUAUCCCCACCUGUCUGAGUGCUCAUCCCAUGUGGUCCCACUAGCAGCUGAGAAAGACUCCCAGGGAGCUCCAACAACAGCAAUUGCAGCAGGAUACUGAAAGAACUUGGAAAAAGUAUCUGAACCUGAGGCAGAGAAGCAAUUGCUCUGCAAGCAAUCAUUGAAUGACUGAAAAAAGUGUCCAGGUCUCUCUCCCAUGUACUCGUCCUGGGGCUUUUGGUCUCUGGGCCAUCUUUUCCAGUCUGGGUUACUUUAGACAAUUCACUUGUGCCUCUCAUUGUAAAAUAAAAGCAAUGCCAUAAAAAUAUGUCCUAUUGCUGGUUACCUGGAGAAGAGC
Molecule: long non-coding RNA, 20091 nt
Organism: Pseudopipra pipra
Lineage: Eukaryota; Metazoa; Chordata; Aves; Passeriformes; Pipridae
Exons: 3
Source: RefSeq, a predicted model, not a curated record